GCGCCCAUGGUGAAAUGGAUAUCACGGCAGCCUCCGGAGCUGCAAGCGCAGGUUCGAUUCCUGCUGGGCGCA
Molecule: transfer RNA, 72 nt
Filed under: Elusimicrobiota bacterium
Lineage: Bacteria; Pseudomonadati; Elusimicrobiota
Description: Elusimicrobia bacterium (groundwater metagenome) tRNA-Arg
Rfam family: tRNA
About the family: Transfer RNA (tRNA) molecules are approximately 80 nucleotides in length. Their secondary structure includes four short double-helical elements and three loops (D, anti-codon, and T loops).
Source: RNAcentral